CCUACGGGAGGCAGCAGUGGGGAAUAUUGCACAAUGGGCGAAAGCCUGAUGCAGCAACGCCGCGUGAGCGAUGAAGGCCCUCGGGUCGUUAAGCCCUGUUCUUAAGGAAGAUAAUGACGGUACUUGAGGAGGAAGCCCCGGCUAACUACGUGCCAGCAGCCGCGGUAAUACGUAGGGGGCUAGCGUUAUCCGGAUUUACUGGGCGUAAAGGGUGCGUAGGUGGUUUCUUAAGUCAGAGGUGAAAGGCUAGGGCUCAACCGUAGUAAGCCUUUGAAACUGGGGAACUUGAGUGCAGGAGAGGUGAGUGGAAUGCGUGGUGUAGCGGUGAAAUGCGUAGAUAUUAGGAGGAACACCAGUUGCGAAGGCGGCUCUCUGGACUGUAACUGACGCUGAGGCACGAAAGCGUGGGGAGCGAACAGGAUUAGAUACCCCGGUAGUC
Molecule: ribosomal RNA, 439 nt
Filed under: uncultured bacterium
Lineage: Bacteria
Description: partial 16S ribosomal RNA
Rfam family: Bacterial small subunit ribosomal RNA
Source: RNAcentral